Molecule: ribosomal RNA, 439 nt
Filed under: uncultured bacterium
Lineage: Bacteria
Description: bacterial SSU rRNA
Rfam family: Bacterial small subunit ribosomal RNA
Source: RNAcentral
GACGAACGCUGGCGGUGUGCUUAACACAUGCAAGUCGUGCGACGGACCAGACUUCGGUCUGGGGCAAAGCGGCGAACGGGUGAGUAACACGUGGGUAAUCUGCCCCGAUGACUGGGACAACCCGAGGAAACUCGGGCUAAUACCGGAUGUGGUGCCUGGACUCAAGUCCGGUCACUAAAGGUAGCUUCGGCUUCCGCAUUGGGAGGGGCCCGCGGCCCAUUAGCUUGUUGGUGGGGUCAAGGCCUACCAAGGCAACGAUGGGUAGCUGGUCUGAGAGGACGAUCAGCCACACUGGGACUGAGACACGGCCCAGACUCCUACGGGAGGCAGCAGUGGGGAAUCUUGCGCAAUGCGCGAAAGCGUGACGCAGCAACACCGCGUGAGGGAAGACGGCCUUAGGUUGUAAACCUCUUUCAGAUGGGACGAAGGUGAUGCGGUG